CCUACGGGUGGCAGCAGUGAGGAAUAUUGGUCAAUGGUCGGGAGACUGAACCAGCCAAGCCGCGUGAGGGAUGAAGGUACAGAGGAUCGUAAACCUCUUUUGUCAGGGAACAAAGGCCGGGACGUGUCCCCGGAUGAGUGUACCUGAAGAAAAAGCAUCGGCUAACUCCGUGCCAGCAGCCGCGGUAAUACGGAGGAUGCGAGCGUUAUCCGGAUUUAUUGGGUUUAAAGGGUUCGAAGGCGGUCGGUAAAGUCAGCGGUAAAAGCGCGGGGCUCAACCCCGGCCCGCCGUUGAAACUGGCAGUCUCGAGUUGGAGAGAAGUAUGCGGAAUGCGCGGUGUAGCGGUGAAAUGCAUAGAUAUCGCGCAGAACUCCGAUUGCGAAGGCAGCAUGCCGGCUCCACACUGACGCUGAGGCACGAAAGCGUGGGUAUCGAACAGGAUUAGAUACCCGGGUAGUC
This 459-nucleotide ribosomal RNA is filed under the name uncultured bacterium. RNAcentral's name for it is "partial 16S ribosomal RNA". It matches the Rfam family "Bacterial small subunit ribosomal RNA", at positions 338 to 795 of the family's 1533-position model. The record is from RNAcentral.